RNAcentral lists this signal recognition particle RNA (97 nucleotides) under Mycoplasmoidaceae bacterium. RNAcentral describes it as "signal recognition particle sRNA small type". It matches the Rfam family "Bacterial small signal recognition particle RNA". From Rfam's summary of the family: The signal recognition particle (SRP) is a universally conserved ribonucleoprotein involved in the co-translational targeting of proteins to membranes. Archaeal SRP consists of a 7S RNA and homologues of the eukaryotic SRP19 and SRP54 proteins. In most bacteria, the SRP consists of a 4.5S RNA and the Ffh protein (a homologue of the eukaryotic SRP54 protein). Lineage: Bacteria; Bacillati; Mycoplasmatota; Mycoplasmoidales; Mycoplasmoidaceae. The record is from RNAcentral.
UAAAAAAGUCAUCACAACAUUAGUGGCGAACCGAGUCAGGCCAGAAAUGGAGCAGCUAUAAGCAUAAUCUAAUGUGUGUGGUGACUUUUUUGUAUAA